Molecule: long non-coding RNA, 643 nt
Organism: Lathyrus oleraceus (garden pea)
Lineage: Eukaryota; Viridiplantae; Streptophyta; Magnoliopsida; Fabales; Fabaceae
Exons: 2
Source: RefSeq, a predicted model, not a curated record
UGAUCCCAAGUGAAGCCAAGGGAAAAUUCUGAAUCCCAACUUCAAAUCAAAUUCAAUCACGUUGCUGACCUAACCUUGCUUUCCCUCUCAAACAUACAUGGCUCACCAGAGAUGGAACUCUGCCGCGUCGGAGACAGCGGAUUGGUCUUAACAUCAAAUUAAGCACAACUAUCUUGAUCAUAUUUGAGCCCUCUCUUUCAAUCUCCAUCCAAUUCUCAUUGAUUCUCACCCUAACUACCAAACCGAAAGAACCAAAACAAGAACCCUAAAACUCAAAAGUUAAAUUAAAUCCCAACCUUGCUUCAAAUCGUCCCAAUACCAAAGGGAUAAUAUCCCUCUACCCCUAAGAAACUCUCUAGUAGCGAAAAUGGGGGAGAAAGAGAUGAGAUUUAGAAGACCCUGUUGGAGUUGAAUCAGACACGGCGAUGAAAACUCAGUUGGUGCAUAUGGAAGCCAUUGAAAGUGCAUUAGAUACAAGGUGGUGCUUGCAAGCUCAAGACAUCAAGAAGCACUUUCUCUUCAUUAAAAUGUAUAGCUAUGCAAUAGGGUUAGGGCUUAUCUUUAUAUAAACAUGAUAAAAUGUAAUGAUACACUUUUGUAAUCAACCUUUCUUAUAAAUUCAAAUUAUGGUGAAUGUAAGUUA